This 274-nucleotide unclassified non-coding RNA is filed under the name Tomentella punicea. Its description in RNAcentral is "partial internal transcribed spacer region". The stretch from base 1 to 46 matches the Rfam family "Eukaryotic small subunit ribosomal RNA", at positions 1786 to 1831 of the family's 1831-position model. Lineage: Eukaryota; Fungi; Basidiomycota; Agaricomycetes; Thelephorales; Thelephoraceae. The record is from RNAcentral.
AAGUCGUAACAAGGUUUCCGUAGGUGAACCUGCGGAAGGAUCAUUACUGAACUGUCGACACGAGUUGUUGCUGGUCCUCGGUGGGACAUGUGCACACUCUGUUAACACAUCCACUCACACCUGUGCACCCUCUGUAGUUCUUAUGGUGUGGGGGACCCCGUCCUCCUGCCAUGGUUCUACGUAUUUACAUACACACUGUGAUAAAGUCCCAUGGAAUGUACACCGCGUUUAACGCAAUACAAUACAACUUUCAGCAACGGAUCUCUUGGCUCUC